Non-coding RNA from Schistosoma mattheei, 45 nucleotides. Lineage: Eukaryota; Metazoa; Platyhelminthes; Trematoda; Strigeidida; Schistosomatidae. The record is from Rfam.
AUCCAAACAAAGAGUCCCAAAUAGGACGAAACGCGCGUCUUGUAU